Molecule: long non-coding RNA, 537 nt
Organism: Notolabrus celidotus (New Zealand spotty)
Lineage: Eukaryota; Metazoa; Chordata; Actinopteri; Labriformes; Labridae
Exons: 2
Source: RefSeq, a predicted model, not a curated record
AUGAGCAUCAUGUCCCUUGCAACACUCCUGGACCCCUGAUUUAAGGUCAUAGGAUUCUUCAGUCAGACAAAAGCUGCUGAAGCAAUAAAACGUCUAACCUCUGAGUGUGCCAUCAUUAGACGCUUGGUACACAGCAGAGAGGAAAUCCCCCAGGCUUCUACCUCUCAUGAUGUCACUGGAGGUAGCAAACUGUGGCAUCGUUUGGACGCCAGUGUCAUGGAGGCAAGAAGUUCUCAAAAUGUCACAGCAGAUGCCACUGUGGAGGUUCAGCGCUACCUUGCAGAGCCCAAUAUCAGCAGGCUGGAAAACCCUCUUGAAUACUGGGAGAGACAAAAAAUGUUGUACCCAAAUUUCUAUAGUCUUGCUCAUUCAUUUUUGUGCACACCAGCAUCAUCCGUACCCUGUGAAAGGGUAUUUUCCAAGGCAGGAGAAGUUGUGUCCAAAAAAAGGAACAGGUUAAAACCCCAAACUGUUGAGAAAAUGUUAUUUCUAAAUAACAAUGAAUAAAAUCUCCCCUGUACAUCAUUGUCCAAGUUA